AGUGAACGCUGGCGGUAGGCCUAACACAUGCAAGUCGAACGGCAGCACAGUAAGAGCUUGCUCUUACGGGUGGCGAGUGGCGGACGGGUGAGGAAUACAUCGGAACCUACUUUUUCGUGGGGGAUAACGUAGGGAAACUUACGCUAAUACCGCAUACGACCUACGGUUGAGAGCAGGGGAUCUUCGGACCUUGCGCGAUUGAAUGAGCCGAUGUCGGAUUAGCUAGUUGGGGGGGUAAAGGCCCACCAAGGCGACGAUCGGUAGCUGGACUGAGAGGAUGGUCGGCCACACUGGAACUGAGACACGGUCCAGACUCCUACGGGAGGCAGCAGUGGGGAAUAUUGGACAAUGGGCGCAAGCCUGAUCCAGCCAUACCGCGUGGGUGAAGAAGGCCUUCGGGUUGUAAAGCCCUUUUGUUGGGAAAGAAAAGCAGCAGGUUAAUACCCCGCUGUUCUGACGGUACCCAAAGAAUAAGCACCGGCUAACUUCGUG
This 492-nucleotide ribosomal RNA is filed under the name uncultured bacterium. RNAcentral's name for it is "partial 16S ribosomal RNA". It matches the Rfam family "Bacterial small subunit ribosomal RNA", at positions 29 to 507 of the family's 1533-position model. The record is from RNAcentral.